Gadus macrocephalus (Pacific cod) is the source of this 4931-nucleotide RNA transcript. It is a transcript of the gene named sema domain, immunoglobulin domain (Ig), short basic domain, secreted, (semaphorin) 3D, with no coding region annotated. The record is from RefSeq and is a predicted model, not a curated record. The transcript is spliced from 18 exons. NCBI's taxonomy places the organism in Eukaryota, Metazoa, Chordata, Actinopteri, Gadiformes, Gadidae.
CGCGAGCUGCUUUCAGAUUCAGUCAUCCAACACGCGCGAGUGCACUGAGAGUUCAAGAGCGUUGUUGGACAGUUCGUAAAUAAACUAAGCUAGGAGCUAGGGGAAUACAUGCGAUUGUACAAGUGCCAUCAAGUGAGACCGAGCUCUUUUAGUUGUUGGUCAGAGGUUGGUGGCCGCAGAGGGAAAGAGUUGAGACCUAAUUUGGCUGGAAGAAGAAGACGCAGGGCCCUUUGGAGUGAGCGCUGAAACACCGGGCCUAACACACUGAACCCACCCACCAGGAAGAUGGAUGGGUGCUCUGGUACCGGGAGCCUCUCCCAGGAGGAGACACACGGCCGCCCAGGUCCACGGAGGGCGCUGCGGGGGGCCUCGGUGAGGUCUCGGACAGCCUCCCACCCGAGGCUGCUGUUCCUGGGCCUGCUGCCGCUGCUGCUCCUGGGCGCUCCUCUGCCAUCAGCAGCCAGCGCCUCACUCCAGGGGGUACCCAGGGUCACACUCAGCCACAAAGAGCUGGUGCAGAGUGGCAGUGUGUCUGUGUUUAUGGGGGCCUCUGGGGGCCUCCACUCCCACACGCUGCUGUUGGACGAAGAGAAGGGUCGCCUUCUACUGGGGGCCAGGGAUCACGUCUAUCUCCUUGACCCCGACAACCUCUCCAGAGCCCCCCGAAAGAUCGUCUGGCCUGCUUCUCUUGACAGAGUGAAGAUGUGCAAACUGGCUGGGAAAAAUGUAAAUCUGGAGUGUGCUAACUUUGUCCGGGUGCUCCACAACUACAACCACACGCACGUGUACGCCUGUGGCACCGGAGCCUUCCACCCCACCUGUGCCUUCAUCGAGCUCACCGGCCACAGAGAGAGCGGGGUGUUCCAGCUGCUCCCCAGCUCGUUUGAAUCGGGGAGAUUAAAAUGUCCUUUUGAUCCCCGGCAACCAUUCACCUCAGUCCUUACAGACCAGUACCUGUAUGCAGGCACGGCUUCAGACUUCCUGGGCAAAGACACCACCUUCACUCGCUCCCUGGGCCCACCGCCCGACCAGAACUACAUACGCACUGAGAUCUCCGAGGACUACUGGAUCAAUGAGGCCAGCUUCAUAUCGGCUCAUCCCAUGUCCGACACCCACAACCCGGACGACGAUAAGAUCUACUUUUUCUUCCGCGAAGUCUCCCGGGAGGGCAAGGACAAAAGCAUUCUGUCCCGCGUGGCGCGCGUCUGCAAGAAUGACGUGGGUGGGCUGAGGAGUCUGACCAACAAAUGGACCACCUUCCUCAAAGCCAGACUGGUGUGCUCCAUUCCUGGGCCUGACGGAGUAGACACACACUUUGAUGAGCUCCAGGACAUCUUCAUGCUUCCCACCAGAGACGAUAAGAACCCCGUGGUGUACGGGGUCUUCACCACCUCCAGCUCCAUCUUCCGGGGCUCAGCGGUGUGUGUGUACAGCAUGGCGGACAUCAGGGCCGUGUUCAACGGACCCUACGCCCACAAGGAGGGCCCCGACCACCGCUGGGUCGAAUACGAGGGCAGGAUCCCCUACCCACGCCCCGGGACGUGCCCCAGCAAGACGUACGACGCGAAGAUCAAGACCACCAAGGACUUCCCCGACGAGGUGGUCAGCUUCGUGCGGUUCCACCCGCUGAUGCACGGCUCGGUGCUCCCGCUGAACGGCCGGCCCGUCUUCCAGCUGGUGCGCGCCGAGUACACGCUCACGCAGAUCGUGGUGGACCGCGUCUCCGCUGAGGACGGCCAGUACGAGGUCAUGUUCCUCGGAACAGAUGCUGGUUCGGUGUUGAAGGUGGUGAGCAUCGCUCAGGAGAAUUGGUCCAGGGAGGAAGUGGUGCUGGAGGAGCUGCAAGUGUUCAAGGUUCCAACUCCCAUCCUGAGCAUGGAGAUGUCAUUCAAACAGCAGCAGCUGUACGUGGGCUCCAGUGAGGGCCUGGCCCAGGUGUCCCUCAGCAGGUGUCCGCUGUACGGGCAGGGCUGCUCUGAGUGCUGCCUGGCCCGGGAUCCGUACUGCGCCUGGGACGGGACCACCUGCUCCCGCUACGUCCCCGCGGCCAAGAGGCGGGCCCGGAGACAGGACGUUAAGCACGGCGACCCGGCCAGCCAGUGCUGGGACUCGGCGGACGGAGGGGGACUGCCGGAGGAGAGAGUUCUAUUUGGGGUGCAGAACAACUCCACUUUCCUGGAGUGUAUCCCUAAAUCCCAGCAGGCCCAGAUCCGCUGGUACAUCCAGAGACCGGGCAUGGAGCACCGCGACCAGGUCAGAGAACACUCGCCCCAUGCCGGCACGUACUCCCAUGCACUCCGAGCUGCGCACUCACCUAUGCACCACUAACCCAGACAGUCACUCAUGCACCACACACAUGCAUGCACGUGCACACACAAACACACUAAAACCCUCUUUCAUCAUUCAUUUGCCCAAACUUUCCCCAGUUUGCUUUCUGUCCUUUCACUACUCUUGGAUUAAGUGCAAAGAAAACGGUCAGAAUCAGAUAUCUGAAACAAUAGUUAAGGCUUUAACAAACAAAUCCUACACGGUGUUAUUGGCUUUUUGUGACAUAAACAAAACAGGGGUUCCAUAUUUGGCCUCCUUUGAAUCUCAUUCUGGUUUCUGCUCUAAACGCAUAUGCAUCUAAGCACAAUCAUUGAUUUAACACAAAGCUUGGCUUUGUGUUCAAUCAAGCCUGGCCAGUUGUUGCCUGAACCUUUUCCUUUAUUGGAUUGCGGACAAGCCAAGACAUAUUUGUUUUCUUUCAUCAGUGACUUCAGCAAAACUCCUUGAAGUGAUAAAAAUCCAAAUCAAAACAAAUCACAUGGGAUCAAAAGAUGCAAAUCAGCCGUCGAUUCGGUCUCUGCGUCCCAAGACGUGUUAUCUCGCCGCAAAAUCCCGGCUGGCUCCGCUACAAUGCCGAUGACGAGGCCCUGUUGUGUUAGCUGGUUAGCUCUUUGGGCAUUGUAUCCUCCACAGCGCUGCUCAGUGCUGUCAUCAAGCCACAUGUGGCAUCACAACCCUGACGUUGUUUUAACAUUGUGGAACAGGACGCUUGCGUUGCGCCGCACAAAUGUUCAUGACUUUUAUUUCCUGGCUGAGGGAAGCCAUGGCCGAUGUUUAUCAGCAGUGGGUCUGCUGCAGGGAGGUGAGGAGUGACUGAGUCCAGACGACCUCACCCGGUGGGGCCUGUGGUGUUGACAAGCUCCCCAGAACACCUUCUGAGGCACAAAACCAGUACAGCAGAAACGUGUCGACGGGGCGUUUAUUUAGCAGACGGGUGUAUUGUUUAGUGACAUGGGAUAGGUAGACGUACAAUAGGUGUCUCUAGGAGGCAUUAGAGCUGAGGCCUUGGGGUGUAUGGUGCUAUUUUGUUUCCCUGUGGGGGGGGGGGGGGUGGUCAGCCAUUCUUCUGGUGACUCUUUACUGGACAUAGUUCACCAUUUCCGGAGCUCUUUGCUGGUCACCCCCCCCCCGGGCUCCUGGGUUGUCUCUCAGGGCCAGGUGUAAACAAAGGGACAGACAGGUGCAGGGGCUGCCAAACACUCACGUGUUCUGUCGCAGGCGGGAAACCCACAGUGUGUGCGUGUGUGUGUGUGUGCGUGUGCGUGUGUGUGGUAUGUCCAUGCAUGUGUUCAAGUUUGUGUGUGUGUGAUGGUAUGUCCGUGUGUGUGCAUGUCCAUGCAUGUGUGUGUAUGCGUGUGUGUUUCCCCCACAGUGAACAAUCAUAAAACAGAACUAUCUAGGGUCAGAUGUUUUUUAGGGUAUGAACACAAGAGGCUAUUUGUUUGUUUGAGGAUCCCGCCAUAUGUACACAGCUGUACUAAUUGACAAAGGAGAGUAACGCAAACAUUUCCCUUUCUCCCUUAAAGCAGAGUAAACAAAUAUCCACUGCUUUGAACGCAUUAGUCAGCGGACACAACAAUGGUUAUAAGGAUUUACGUUUAUUUUACAGAAAAUAUAUGAUAGACCACUUGGUAAUUAAGUAGUGUUAUUUAUGUACGACCUUUGUAGUGUCAAAAAACAAAAGUCUUUUGUUAUUUCUUCCUUUCUUUUUAAUUCAGGCACCCCAUGGGGUCUGGUUCUUAGCAGGAUGUUUACUGGAUCGCUGAACAGCGAGUAAUGCACUUCAUUCUGGCUGAGUUUGUAUUUUUAAUGGGAGGUUAAGGCAGAGCUCAGGGUCGGUUCUACAGGCGUAUUGGUACAGGUGAUGUCCUGAUUUUCCUUCCGUCCUCACUUCCUGUUUCCUUUACUUUGUUUCUGUCUGGCUAUCUUACUGUCGGUCUGUCUUUCCACAUCUCUGUGUCUCUGUCUCUCUAUGUCUUGUUUCUCUCUCUCUCUGUCUCUGUCUCUGUCUCUGUCUCUCUGUCUCUGUCUCUGUCUCUGUCUCUGUCUCUCUCUCUGUCUCUCUCUCUGUCUCUCUCUCUGUCUCUGUCUCUGUCUCUCUCUCUCUCUCUCUGUCUAUUUUCCGUCUGACUCGCCGUCCUCUCCCUCCCUCAUAUUGUCUGGCCCCUAACUGGUUUGGAUUCAAAACACCUCUCUCCAGCUGCUGUGGCACCUGCAUUUCCUCUGCCUACAUUCCUCAUCCUCUCCACACAAAUGCACACACUCACACACACUCGCAUGCACACAAUGUCUACAAUGUCUCUUAUCUUGUAAAACUCUGCUCUGAAGCACUCAACUAGAGAUCUUUUUAACUUUAUUAAUCUCUGUUUCUUGAUCAGACACACACGCACACGCACACGCACACGCACACGCACACACACACACACACCCCAAAUCACACAGUGUGAUUUGGGUAAGAUUGUGAGUUUGACUUUUGUAGUACCUCCCCAUGCCCCGGGAGGUAAUAAAAUGCUCAUAAUGAGAACAAUAUGGAAGUCAAUUUGAAUCUAAAUCCAUCAUCUGUGUCUAAUAGAAUGGAAAUACACAAUAAAAAGUGAAAUGGG